UGGGGAAUAUUGCACAAUGGGCGAAAGCCUGAUGCAGCGACGCCGCGUGAGGGAUGACGGCCUUCGGGUUGUAAACCUCUUUCAGCUCCGACGAAGCUGCGUCUUUCUUGGGCGCAGUGACGGUAGGGGCAGAAGAAGCACCGGCCAACUACGUGCCAGCAGCCGCGGUAAUACGUAGGGUGCAAGCGUUGUCCGGAAUUAUUGGGCGUAAAGAGCUCGUAGGCGGUUUGUCGCGUCGGCUGUGAAAACUCGGGGCUCAACUCCGGGCGUGCAGUCGAUACGGGCAGACUAGAGUUCGGCAGGGGAGACUGGAAUUCCUGGUGUAGCGGUGAAAUGCGCAGAUAUCAGGAGGAACACCGGUGGCGAAGGCGGGUCUCUGGGCCGAUACUGACGCUGAGGAGCGAAAGCGUGGGGAGCGAACAGGAUUAGAUACCCUAAAAGCAAACGAAGUAAACGGGGGGCGCUAGGUGUGGGAUCCCUUCCACGGGUUCCGUGCCGCAGCUAACGCAUUAAGCGCCCCGCCUGGGGAGUACG
Molecule: ribosomal RNA, 534 nt
Filed under: uncultured eubacterium Hbr-K10
Lineage: Bacteria
Description: bacterial SSU rRNA
Rfam family: Bacterial small subunit ribosomal RNA
Source: RNAcentral